AUUGAACGCUGGCGGCAUGCCUUACACAUGCAAGUCGAACGGCAGCACGGGAGCUUGCUCCUGGUGGCGAGUGGCGAACGGGUGAGUAAUACAUCGGAACGUACCCUGAAGUGGGGGAUAACGUAGCGAAAGUUACGCUAAUACCGCAUAUUCUGUGAGCAGGAAAGAGGGGGAUCGCAAGACCUCUUGCUUUAGGAGCGGCCGAUGUCGGAUUAGCUAGUUGGUGGGGUAAAGGCUCACCAAGGCGACGAUCCGUAGCGGGUCUGAGAGGAUGAUCCGCCACACUGGGACUGAGACACGGCCCAGACUCCUACGGGAGGCAGCAGUGGGGAAUUUUGGACAAUGGGCGCAAGCCUGAUCCAGCCAUGCCGCGUGAGUGAAGAAGGCCUUCGGGUUGUAAAGACUCUUCGUGGGAGAAGUUAGCACAGGAGUAAUACC
This 438-nucleotide ribosomal RNA is filed under the name uncultured bacterium. Its description in RNAcentral is "bacterial SSU rRNA". It matches the Rfam family "Bacterial small subunit ribosomal RNA", at positions 30 to 465 of the family's 1533-position model. The record is from RNAcentral.